AAUGGCCGAAAGGCUGAACCAGCAACGCCGCGUGAGGGAUGAAGGUCUAAGGAUUGUAAACCUCUGUUAGGAGGGACGAACAGUUCCGUAACGAACUUACGGGAUUUGACGGUACCUCCAGAGAAAGCCCCGGCUAACUCCGUGCCAGCAGCCGCGGUAAUACGGGGGGGGCAAGCGUUGUCCGGAAUUAUUGGGUGUAAAGGGUGCGUAGGCGGAAUGGUAAGUCAGAAGUGCAAUGCUCAUGCUUAACAUGGGCGCUGCUUUUGAUACUGCUGUUCUUGAGUGCAGAAAAGGGAAGUAGAAUUCUCGGUGUAGCGGUGAAAUGCGUAGAUAUCGAGAAGAAUACCAGUAGCGAAGGCGGCUUCCUGGUCUGUAACUGACGCUGAGGCACGAAAGUGUGGGUAGCAAA
RNAcentral lists this ribosomal RNA (409 nucleotides) under uncultured bacterium. Its description in RNAcentral is "bacterial SSU rRNA". It matches the Rfam family "Bacterial small subunit ribosomal RNA", at positions 370 to 772 of the family's 1533-position model. The record is from RNAcentral.